GACGAACGCUGGCGGCGCGCCUAACACAUGCAAGUCGAACGAGCGAGAGAGAGCUUGCUUUCUCAAGCGAGUGGCGAACGGGUGAGUAACGCGUGAGGAACCUGCCUCAAAGAGGGGGACAACAGUUGGAAACGACUGCUAAUACCGCAUAAGCCCACGACCCGGCAUCGGGUUGAGGGAAAAGGAGCAAUCCGCUUUGAGAUGGCCUCGCGUCCGAUUAGCUAGUUGGUGAGGUAACGGCCCACCAAGGCAACGAUCGGUAGCCGGACUGAGAGGUUGAACGGCCACAUUGGGACUGAGACACGGCCCAGACUCCUACGGGAGGCAGCAGUGGGGAAUAUUGCACAAUGGGGGAAACCCUGAUGCAGCGACGCCGCGUGGAGGAAGAAGGUCUUCGGAUUGUAAACUCCUGUUGUUGAGGAAGAUAAUGACGGUACUCAACAAGGAAGUGACGGCUAACUACGUGCCAGCAGCCGCGGUAAAACGUAGGUCACAAGCGUUGUCCGGAAUUACUGGGUGUAAAGGGAGCGCAGGCGGGAAGACAAGUUGGAAGUGAAAUCUAUGGGCUCAACCCAUAAACUGCUUUCAAAACUGUUUUUCUUGAGUAGUGCAGAGGUAGGCGGAAUUCCCGGUGUAGCGGUGGAAUGCGUAGAUAUCGGGAGGAACACCAGUGGCGAAGGCGGCCUACUGGGCACCAACUGACGCUGAGGCUUGAAAGUGUGGGUAGCAAACAGG
Molecule: ribosomal RNA, 735 nt
Filed under: uncultured bacterium
Lineage: Bacteria
Description: bacterial SSU rRNA
Rfam family: Bacterial small subunit ribosomal RNA
Source: RNAcentral